CCUACGGGAGGCAGCAGUGGGGAAUAUUGCACAAUGGGGGAAACCCUGAUGCAGCGACGCCGCGUGAGUGAAGACGUAUUUCGGUGCGUAAAACUCUAUCAGCAGGGAGGAAAAUGACGGUACCUGACUAAGAAGUCCCGUCUAACUACGUGCCAGCAGCCGCUGUAAUACGUAGGGAGCAAGCGUUAUCCGGAUUUACUGGGUGUAAAGGGAGCGUAGACGGGAGCGGAAGUCUGGAGUGAAAUCCCAUGGCUUAACCAUGGAACUGCUUUGGAAACUGUGCAGCUAGAGUGUAGGCGCGGUAAGCGGAAUGCCUAGUGUAGCGGUGAAAUGCGUAGAGAUUAGGAGGAACACCAGUGGCGAAGGCGGCUUACGGGACUGUAACUGACGUUGAGGCUCGAAAGCGUGGGGAGCAAACAGGAUUAGAUACCCUAGUAGUC
Molecule: ribosomal RNA, 440 nt
Filed under: uncultured bacterium
Lineage: Bacteria
Description: partial 16S ribosomal RNA
Rfam family: Bacterial small subunit ribosomal RNA
Source: RNAcentral